GACGAACGCUGGCGGCGUGCUUAACACAUGCAAGUCGAGCGGAAAGGCCCUUCGGGGUACUCGAGCGGCGAACGGGUGAGUAACACGUGAGUAACCUGCCCCAGACUUUGGGAUAACCCUCGGAAACGGGGGCUAAUACCGGAUACGACACAGCUUCGCGUGGGGUCUGUGUGGAAAGUUUUUCGGUUUGGGAUGGGCUCGCGGCCUAUCAGCUUGUUGGUGGGGUGAUGGCCUACCAAGGCGACGACGGGUAGCCGGCCUGAGAGGGCGACCGGCCACACUGGGACUGAGACACGGCCCAGACUCCUACGGGAGGCAGCAGUGGGGAAUAUUGCACAAUGGGCGGAAGCCUGAUGCAGCGACGCCGCGUGAGGGAUGGCGGCCUUCGGGUUGUAAACCUCUUUCAGCAGGGACGAAGCGUAAGUGACGGUACCUGCAGAAGAAGCGCCGGCCAACUACGUG
This 462-nucleotide ribosomal RNA is filed under the name uncultured bacterium. RNAcentral's name for it is "partial 16S ribosomal RNA". It matches the Rfam family "Bacterial small subunit ribosomal RNA", at positions 28 to 507 of the family's 1533-position model. The record is from RNAcentral.